This 460-nucleotide ribosomal RNA is filed under the name uncultured bacterium. RNAcentral's name for it is "partial 16S ribosomal RNA". It matches the Rfam family "Bacterial small subunit ribosomal RNA", at positions 338 to 795 of the family's 1533-position model. The record is from RNAcentral.
CCUACGGGAGGCAGCAGUGAGGAAUAUUGGUCAAUGGACGUAAGGCUGAACCAGCCAAGUCGCGUGAAGGAAGAAGGAUCUAUGGUUUGUAAACUUCUUUUAUAGGGGAAUAAAGGUAUUCACGUGUGGAUUUUUGCAUGUACCCUAUGAAUAAGCAUCGGCUAACUCCGUGCCAGCAGCCGCGGUAAUACGGAGGAUGCGAGCGUUAUCCGGAUUUAUUGGGUUUAAAGGGAGCGUAGGUGGGUUUUUAAGUCAGCGGUGAAAGUUUGUGGCUCAACCAUAAAAUUGCGGUUGAAACUGGAAGACUUGAGUGUGUUUGAGGUAGGCGGAAUGCGUGGUGUAGCGGUGAAAUGCAUAGAUAUCACGCAGAACUCCGAUUGCGAAGGCAGCUUACUAAGCCAUAACUGACACUGAAGCACGAAAGCGUGGGGAUCAAACAGGAUUAGAUACCCGAGUAGUC